GAAAAUCUAUUUGUGUUAAAAGUAUAUUAUUUCUCAGAGGGUGACAAUUAAAUUCACACCCUCCGGUGGAGUUGUUGCUGUAAGUGAAGCCCAACAGAACACUUGCAGGUGAUUUAAAAGGGAAACUGAAUUAAAAAUCAGAUGAAACUUUGGUUUCUUUGAACGUCAAAGGACAUAAGAGACAGUGGAAGGAAAAAACUCAAUAGGUCCAACCAACAUGCAGCUACUAAUUCUUCUAGCCUCUUCAAUUGCAAUAUGUUCCAGUAUUCUCGAGCCACGGAAGUCCCCCGAUUCGCUGCUUAUCUCUAACAUCGUUAAUAUGGAAGAAGUGAGCGAUUCUAUUUCUCCGGAUGUCAAGCGCACCAAAGUUUUGUCCAUCUGGAACGACCUUAGCGUGCUCUCAACAGUUCUCUCCAAGACCAGAAAGACCCCCAACAAGUUUACCAGAGUUUCAAACUUGUUUCAGCAGAAAUACGAUAAUUAUAUCAAGGAUAAAUACUCUAAAUUUAGUAAGGAGCAAAUUAGGAAAAUGCUCUUUCGUUUUGGAUGAAGUUAUUUUGUUUUGAUUUAACUAAGGGUAGUAAUAAAUAUAUUGCAGCAAAAUAUUGUAAAA
This is a long non-coding RNA of Magallana angulata, 613 nucleotides long. RefSeq lists it as uncharacterized. Lineage: Eukaryota; Metazoa; Mollusca; Bivalvia; Ostreida; Ostreidae. The record is from RefSeq and is a predicted model, not a curated record. The transcript is spliced from 2 exons.